ACUCAACAAGAAUUUUUUAAAAAGGGUGAGUCUAGUCUGCUAAAGCAAGCCUAUUUAAGGAUCCUUGAUCAGUUAGUUAGCCCUAAACUUUUUAGUAAUAGAGUUU
Molecule: small RNA, 106 nt
Filed under: Flavobacteriaceae bacterium
Lineage: Bacteria; Pseudomonadati; Bacteroidota; Flavobacteriia; Flavobacteriales; Flavobacteriaceae
Description: 6S RNA
Rfam family: 6S-Flavo RNA
Source: RNAcentral